GGUGGCACCUGCAGCAUCCUGCUCUCAGGAUCUGGCUUGGUUGGAGUCAAGGAGAAAGCUGCUGGCAUUCCCUGGGGAAGAGGGAAGCACUGAUCUCACAGCAGCACCUGGAAACGAGCAUCAAGGGACUAUGAUUUAAUGCUGGAAGAUGACACAAGUCUGCAAGCAUGAUCCUCAAACCAGACAGGUCCUGGGGAGUCCCUGUACGAAGCUGUGACCUCCCUGAUGCCAUCUCCAGAGCCAGACCUCUGUUCGACCUGCUUAGUGUUGUGUGGCUGAGCUAAAAACACAGGGACAGCCACAUGGAAAAUACCACAUUGACCUGCAUUGUAAAUGCAAUAAAAAAUAACGUGGAAAAUCUGUGCUGUAAAA
Long non-coding RNA from Apus apus (common swift), 372 nucleotides. RefSeq lists it as uncharacterized. The transcript is spliced from 2 exons. The record is from RefSeq and is a predicted model, not a curated record. Lineage: Eukaryota; Metazoa; Chordata; Aves; Apodiformes; Apodidae.